RNAcentral lists this ribosomal RNA (512 nucleotides) under uncultured Pseudomonadota bacterium. RNAcentral's name for it is "bacterial SSU rRNA". It matches the Rfam family "Bacterial small subunit ribosomal RNA", at positions 392 to 896 of the family's 1533-position model. Lineage: Bacteria; Pseudomonadati; Pseudomonadota. The record is from RNAcentral.
CAAUACCGCGUGUGUGAAGAAGGCCUGAGGGUUGUAAAGCACUUUCAAUAGGGAGGAAUACCUGUCGGUCAAUACCCGGCAGCUUGACAUUACCUAUACAAGAAGCACCGGCUAACUCCGUGCCAGCAGCCGCGGUAAUACGGAGGGUGCAAGCGUUAAUCGGAAUUACUGGGCGUAAAGCGUGCGUAGGCGGUUGAUUAAGUCAGAUGUGAAAGCCCCGGGCUUAACCUGGGAACUGCAUUUGAUACUGGUUAACUAGAGUUUAGUAGAGGAGAGUGGAAUUUCAGGUGUAGCGGUGAAAUGCGUAGAUAUCUGAAGGAACACCAGUGGCGAAGGCGACUCUCUGGACUAAAACUGACGCUGAGGUACGAAAGCGUGGGUAGCAAACAGGAUUAGAUACCCUGGUAGUCCACGCCGUAAACGAUGUCAACUAGCCGUUGGGUCUUUUAACAGACUUAGUGGCGCAGCUAACGCAUUAAGUUGACCGCCUGGGGAGUACGGCCGCAAGGUUA